UUAAGAUACUAAGGGCGAUUGGUGGAUGCCUAGGCGCCAGGAGGCGAUGAAGGACGUGGUAGGCUGCGAAAAGCCUCGGGGAGCUGCCAAGCAGGCUAUGAUCCGGGGAUUUCCGAAUGGGGUAACCCACCUGGAGUAAUGUCCAGGUACCCACGUAAGUGGGGGCGAACCCGGGGAAGUGAAACAUCUCAGUACCCGGAGGAGAAGAAAUCAACCGAGAUUCCCCAAGUAGCGGCGAGCGAACGGGGAUUAGCCUAAACCCGCCACCUUUUUUUAGGAAGUAAUGAGCUAGAAGCAAUUAGUAAGAGUGAGGAAUGAAGAUUAGUUGAAAUAGCAAAUUACUUACUAGAAAAGGUGGCGGGGGUUGUGGGGCCUCCAUGAAGUGAUCCGUGAGUAGGUAGCAGAAGUAGCUGGGAAGCUACGCCAUAGAGGGUGAAAGCCCCGUAUGCGAAACCGAAGAGCGGCGCUAGGAGGUACCCGAGUACCACGACUCGUGGAAUCCCGUGGGAAUCUGGGGGGACCAUCCUCCAAGGCUAAAUACUCCCUGGCGACCGAUAGCGCAUAGUACCGUGAGGGAAAGGUGAAAAGAACCCCGGAGAGGGGAGUGAAAUAGAACCUGAAACCAAUCGCCUACAAGCUGUUCGAGCCCGCCACCUUUUUUUAGGAAGUAACUUGCCAUGUCUGUUUAUGUGGGCCUUCGCAUACCUAAUUAAUAAUUCAAAGUUAGUUACUAGAAAAGGUGGCGGGUGAGAGCAUGCCUUUUGCAUAAUGAGCCAGCGAGUUACUCUGUGUGGCGAGGUUAAGACUGUAAGGUGCGGAGCCGUAGGGAAACCGAGUCUGAAGAGGGCGUAUAGUCGCACGGAGUAGACCCGAAGCCGGGUGAUCUAUCCAUGGGCAGGGUGAAGCUGGGGUAAAACCCAGUGGAGGCCCGAACCGGUGUAGGAUGAAAACUGCUCGGAUGACCUGUGGAUAGGGGUGAAAGGCCAAUCAAACCCGGGGAUAGCUGGUUCUCCCCGAAAUAUAUUUAGGUAUAGCCUCAGGGAUUGUCUUGCGGAGGUAGAGCACUGGAAGGGCUAGGGGCACCAGGUUACCAAACCCUACCAAACUCCGAAUGCCGUAAGAUGUACCCUGGGAGUCAGACUACGGGUGAGAAGGUCCGUGGUCGAGAGGGAAACAGCCCAGACCGUCGGCUAAGGUCCCCAAAUCCAUGCUGAGUGGGAAAGGAAGUGGACUGGCUGAGACAGCAGGAGGUUGGCUUAGAAGCAGCCACCCUUUAAAGAAAGCGUAACAGCUCACUGGUCUAGCUGGUCUGCGCCGAAAAUGUAACGGGCUGAAGCAUGGUACCGAAGCCACGGGAGCUAGUUAGACUAGCUCGGUAGGGGAGCGUUCUCUGAUGGAAGAAGCCAUACCUGUGAGGGGUGGUGGACGUCAGGGAAGUGAAGAUGCUGGCAUGAGUAACGAUAAAGGGGGUGAGAAACCUCCUCGCCGUAAGCCCAAGGUUUCCAGGGUAAAGUUAAUCUGCCCUGGGUUAGCCGGCCCCUAAGGCGAGGCCGAGAGGCGUAGCCGAUGGGAAGCAGGUUAAUAUUCCUGCGCCUUCUGAUGAGUCGUUUGAGUGAUGGGGUGACGCAGAAGGGUAGCCCAGCCGGGGAUUGGAAGUCCCGGUGCAAGCCUGUAGGCGGGGGAGAUAGGCAAAUCCGUCUCCCUGUAAACGCUGAGAGGUGAUGGCGAGUCUAUAAGACGCGAAAGUGGGUGAGCCCAAGCUGCCGAGAAAAACCUCUAAGCGAGACUCAUUAGGAGACCGUACCGCAAACCGACACAGGUAGGCGGGGUGAGCAACCCAAGGCGCUCGAGAGAACUCCAGCCAAGGAACUCGGCAAAAUGACCCCGUAACUUCGGGAGAAGGGGUGCUUCUGGGUGUGAAGGUACCAGCUACUGUAGCACCUGGGAGCCGCAGAGAAUCGGCGGGGGCGACUGUUUACUAAAAACACAGGUCUCUGCAAAGUCGCAAGACGAAGUAUAGGACUGACGCCUGCCCGGUGCCGGAAGGUUAAGGGGAGGGGUGAGAGCUCCGAACCGAAGCCCCGGUAAACGGCGGCCGUAACUAUAACGGUCCUAAGGUAGCGAAAUUCCUUGUCGGGUAAGUUCCGACCUGCACGAAUGGCGUAACGAUCCCCGCACUGUCUCGGCUGGAGACUCGGUGAAAUUGGAGUACCGGUGAAGAUACCGGUUACCCGCAGCAAGACGGAAAGACCCUGUGCACCUUUACUACAGCCUGGCAUUGAACUGUGGGCUAUCAUGUAUAGGAUAGGUGGGAGGCUGAGAAGCCUGGGCGCCAGCCUAGGUGGAGCCGUCCUUGGAAUACCACCCUUGGUAGUCUAUAGUUCUAAUCCUGAGGAGUAGAACCUUCCAGGAGACAGUGUCAGGUGGGUAGUUUGACUGGGGCGGUCGCCUCCUAAAGAGUAACGGAGGCGUGCAAAGGUUCCCUCAGGCUGAUUGGAAACCAGCCGUUAGAGUGCAAAGGCAUAAGGGAGCUUGACUGCGAGAGGGACACCUCGAGCAGGGACGAAAGUCGGCCUUAGUGAUCCGGUGGUUCCACAUGGGAGGGCCAUCGCUCAUCGGACAAAAGGUACGCCGGGGAUAACAGGCUGAUCGCGCCCAAGAGUUCACAUCGACGGCGCGGUUUGGCACCUCGAUGUCGGCUCAUCACAUCCUGGGGCUGAAGCAGGUCCCAAGGGUACGGCUGUUCGCCGUUUAAAGUGGUACGCGAGCUGGGUUUAAAACGUCGUGAGACAGUUUGGUCCCUAUCUGCUGCGGGCGUAGGAGACUUGAGGGGAGCUGCCCCUAGUACGAGAGGACCGGGGUGGACGAUCCUCUGGUGGACCUGUUGUAGCGCCAGCUGCACAGCAGGGUAGCUAUGAUCGGCCGGGAUAACCGCUGAAGGCAUCUAAGCGGGAAGCCCCCCCCAAGAUAAGGUCUCCCUCCGUAAGGACUAAAGGCCCCUGGGAGACUACCAGGUAGAUAGGCCCGAGGUGUAAGCACAGUGAUGUGUUUAGCCAACGGGUACUAAUAGGCCGAGCGUCUUAACCCU
This 3088-nucleotide ribosomal RNA is filed under the name Desulfothermus okinawensis JCM 13304. RNAcentral's name for it is "bacterial LSU rRNA". It matches the Rfam family "Bacterial large subunit ribosomal RNA". The record is from RNAcentral. Lineage: Bacteria; Pseudomonadati; Thermodesulfobacteriota; Desulfovibrionia; Desulfovibrionales; Desulfothermaceae.